UCUGCAAGGAAAAACAUUGUAUCUCACUCUUUAGCGAUUUUGAGUUACAAUCAUAUUCAUAGUGAACAAAAAUGCUCUUUUUAGGCUCACUCCUGUGAAGUCC
Long non-coding RNA from Maniola jurtina (meadow brown), 103 nucleotides. RefSeq lists it as uncharacterized. The transcript has 3 exons. The record is from RefSeq and is a predicted model, not a curated record. NCBI's taxonomy places the organism in Eukaryota, Metazoa, Arthropoda, Insecta, Lepidoptera, Nymphalidae.